UAUCCGAAAAUACAGAUAAUCUGGAUGUAGAAGAUGAUAACGAAGACUGAAAAAGACAACAGAAUAAAUCCUGUUUACGUAAGAGGAUCACUAUACCAACUGAAUAAACAAUGGAAAGAUAUGCUAACAUAUAUUGUUAUCUCAAGAGCCUGUGCCAAAACACAUGUUUCUAUGAUCAUAAUAGUGGCUACAUCGGAAUAAGAGUGCUGUCAAAACAUGCCAUAGGAAAUGUACUUGAUUCCCAACAUAUAAA
Salvia miltiorrhiza (redroot sage) is the source of this 253-nucleotide long non-coding RNA. RefSeq lists it as uncharacterized. The transcript has 2 exons. The record is from RefSeq and is a predicted model, not a curated record. NCBI's taxonomy places the organism in Eukaryota, Viridiplantae, Streptophyta, Magnoliopsida, Lamiales, Lamiaceae.